Molecule: ribosomal RNA, 464 nt
Filed under: Vreelandella stevensii
Lineage: Bacteria; Pseudomonadati; Pseudomonadota; Gammaproteobacteria; Oceanospirillales; Halomonadaceae
Description: partial 16S ribosomal RNA
Rfam family: Bacterial small subunit ribosomal RNA
Source: RNAcentral
CCUACGGGUGGCUGCAGUGGGGAAUAUUGGACAAUGGGCGAAAGCCUGAUCCAGCCAUGCCGCGUGUGUGAAGAAGGCCUUCGGGUUGUAAAGCACUUUCAGUGGGGAAGAAAGCCUUGGGGCUAAUACCCUCGAGGAAGGACAUCACCCACAGAAGAAGCACCGGCUAACUCCGUGCCAGCAGCCGCGGUAAUACGGAGGGUGCGAGCGUUAAUCGGAAUUACUGGGCGUAAAGCGCGCGUAGGCGGUCUGAUAAGCCGGUUGUGAAAGCCCCGGGCUCAACCUGGGAACGGCAUCCGGAACUGUCAGGCUAGAGUGCGGGAGAGGGAGGUAGAAUUCCCGGUGUAGCGGUGAAAUGCGUAGAGAUCGGGAGGAAUACCAGUGGCGAAGGCGGCCUUCUGGACUGACACUGACGCUGAGGUGCGAAAGCGUGGGUAGCAAACAGGAUUAGAUACCCGUUAGUC